Long non-coding RNA from Calypte anna (Anna's hummingbird), 713 nucleotides. RefSeq lists it as uncharacterized. NCBI's taxonomy places the organism in Eukaryota, Metazoa, Chordata, Aves, Apodiformes, Trochilidae. The transcript is spliced from 4 exons. The record is from RefSeq and is a predicted model, not a curated record.
AGCCACUGUCCUAGAGGUGAUGCAUUGUUCUCUCCCUGGCAGGUAGAGUUGGAGCUGAUGUCUGAACCCCACCUGCUUUAGACCCUGGUCUGGAGCAAGGACUUAAGAUGAAGGAUAUAAGCUCCCAGGAUCAAGCUAUGAGACAAAACCACUGUUGCAAACCAAGCACCAGGACCUGAGAACAUGUAGCAAGUCAUUAGUAUCAGGAGCCAGACUCAGAUGGUCUCAGAUGGAUCAACAAGUACCUGUGCUGCUUUGUGUGAUGGGUUGCUCACUGCUAGGGCACCCUGCGCACCUCUCCACGUUAGCAUGCUCUAGAUUGUCUGUGCUUGGAAAUACAGAAGUGUUUAUUCUGAGAAGAUCUUGUCUAGGAUCCUUCUGUCUUGCUAAUGGCCUGGAAAGUGCUUUAUCAUUCCCUUCUGAUCAUACUCUGCUUUUUCCAAAUGCGGAACAUACAUAUAUAUCUGCUCUCUUCUUUCCAAAGAUCUCCCACUUAAUCACACUUCUUAAAUAAUUGCUCUACACUAUUUCACUGUAAUAAAAGGCUGUUAUACCAUGCAGGUCUCUGCUAUGGCAUUUUUAUCCUAGGUGAUGUCUUGAUUUGUUUCUCAGUUGAUCCCUUGUUCUUAGGCAACCAUCAGUCUUCAUCUGUUGUAAGGACAUCUAAAAUUAUAGCUUUACUUGGGCAGUCAUAAUUUGUAAACUUAUAAGAA